AGAGUUUGAUCCUGGCUCAGAAUCAACGCUGGCGGCGCGCCUAACACAUGCAAGUCGAACGAGAAAGUCCCGCAAGGGAUGAGUAAAGUGGCGUACGGGUGAGUAACACGUAGCUAACCUACCCUCGAGUGGGGGAUAACCUGGGGAAACUCGGGCUAAUACCGCAUAAGAUCCGGGCUGCAUCAGUAGUCUGGAGCAAGGGUCCGCAAGGAUCGCUUGAGGAGGGGGCUGCGGCCGAUUAGCUAGUUGGUGAGGUAACGGCCCACCAAGGCGACGAUCGGUAGCCGGCCUGAAAGGGCGCACGGCCACACUGGCACUGAAACACGGGACAGACUCCUACGGGAGGCAGCAGUGGGGAAUUUUGCACAAUGCCCGAAAGGGUGAUGCGGCAACGCCGCGUGAGGGAUGAAGGUCUUCGGAUCGUAAACCUCUUUCGACCGGGAAAAAUGUGCGGGUGAACAGCCCGUUCUGAUGGUACCGGUGGAAGAAGCCCCGGCUAACUACGUGCCAGCAGCCGCGGUAAUACGUAGGGGGCGAGCGUUGUUCGGAAUUACUGGGCGUAAAGGGCGUGUAGGCGGUGCGGUAAGUCGGGCGUGAAAUCCCCAGGCUCAACCUGGGGCGGUCGCUCGGGACUGCCGUGCUCGAGUAUGGGAUAGGGAAGUGUAAUUCCCGGUGUAGCGGUGAAAUGCGUAGAUAUCCGGAGGAACACCUGCGGCGAAUGCGGCUUCCUGGACCAUAACUGACGCUGAGGCGCGAAGCUAGGGGAGUAAACACGAUGAGAUACCCU
This 787-nucleotide ribosomal RNA is filed under the name uncultured soil bacterium. RNAcentral describes it as "bacterial SSU rRNA". It matches the Rfam family "Bacterial small subunit ribosomal RNA", at positions 8 to 788 of the family's 1533-position model. The record is from RNAcentral.